RNAcentral lists this ribosomal RNA (365 nucleotides) under Salmonella enterica. Its description in RNAcentral is "partial 23S ribosomal RNA". It matches the Rfam family "Bacterial large subunit ribosomal RNA", at positions 2261 to 2625 of the family's 2925-position model. The record is from RNAcentral. Lineage: Bacteria; Pseudomonadati; Pseudomonadota; Gammaproteobacteria; Enterobacterales; Enterobacteriaceae. RNAcentral also lists the same sequence under 1 other name.
GUGGGUAGUUUGACUGGGGCGGUCUCCUCCUAAAGAGUAACGGAGGAGCACGAAGGUUGGCUAAUCCUGGUCGGACAUCAGGAGGUUAGUGCAAUGGCAUAAGCCAGCUUGACUGCGAGCGUGACGGCGCGAGCAGGUGCGAAAGCAGGUCAUAGUGAUCCGGUGGUUCUGAAUGGAAGGGCCAUCGCUCAACGGAUAAAAGGUACUCCGGGGAUAACAGGCUGAUACCGCCCAAGAGUUCAUAUCGACGGCGGUGUUUGGCACCUCGAUGUCGGCUCAUCACAUCCUGGGGCUGAAGUAGGUCCCAAGGGUAUGGCUGUUCGCCAUUUAAAGUGGUACGCGAGCUGGGUUUAGAACGUCGUGAG